CCUACGGGAGGCUGCAGUGGGGAAUAUUGGACAAUGGGCGAAAGCCUGAUCCAGCCAUGCCGCGUGUGUGAAGAAGGCCUUCGGGUUGUAAAGCACUUUCAGUGGGGAAGAAAGCCUUGGGGCUAAUGCCCUCGAGGAAGGACAUCACCCACAGAAGAAGCACCGGCUAACUCCGUGCCAGCAGCCGCGGUAAUACGGAGGGUGCGAGCGUUAAUCGGAAUUACUGGGCGUAAAGCGCGCGUAGGCGGUCUGAUAAGCCGGUUGUGAAAGCCCCGGGCUCAACCUGGGAACGGCAUCCGGAACUGUCAGGCUAGAGUGCAGGAGAGGAAGGUAGAAUUCCCGGUGUAGCGGUGAAAUGCGUAGAGAUCGGGAGGAAUACCAGUGGCGAAGGCGGCCUUCUGGACUGACACUGACGCUGAGGUGCGAAAGCGUGGGUAGCAAACAGGAUUAGAUACCCCAGUAGUC
This 465-nucleotide ribosomal RNA is filed under the name Vreelandella stevensii. RNAcentral describes it as "partial 16S ribosomal RNA". It matches the Rfam family "Bacterial small subunit ribosomal RNA", at positions 338 to 795 of the family's 1533-position model. Lineage: Bacteria; Pseudomonadati; Pseudomonadota; Gammaproteobacteria; Oceanospirillales; Halomonadaceae. The record is from RNAcentral.